CUGCUUAAUUUUUCUCACUGUCAGGAAAUUUCUCCUGAAUUCCAGGGUACUUGUCUCCCUGGUUAUUUUCCACCCAUUAUUUCUUGUCUUCCCUUCUGGUGCUUUGGAAAAUAGGCUGACCCCUCCCCUCUUCCUUGUGGCAGCCCCUCAGGUAUUGGAACUGUGCUAUCGUGUCCCUGCUACUCCUUUUUUUCACUAUAGUCAGGAUAGAGAAUCAGAGGGACCUUGGAGGUCUUCUAGUCCAACCCCCUGCUUAAACAGGAGAACACUGCAAUUUGAAAGAAGUGGCUGUCCACAGUCUAUUCUUAAAAGCCUCCAGUGAUAAAGCACCUACAAUUUUUGGAAGGCAAGCUGUCCCACUGGUAGAUUUCAUAUAAUCAUGUGAUGGAUACGGUGUCACUAAAAUAGCAAUUAUAUUUAGGCUUAUAUACCUCCCCAUAGUGUUUCCCAGUAGCUGGCGAGAAGCUUUCUGUAAGUGUUGGAAACUAUCCUACUUUCACUGCAGCUGCACAGGAGCACUGCAGCGCUAAAACUUUCCAAAUUUCGAUCCCAAAGGAAUAUAUGGGUCCUCUAUUUUGGACGCAUUCUAUAGAGGUAUAUUGGUCCCAAGAAUUGUCCUAUUGUGCACCGUUUUGCCCAGUGUGAAUCAAAAGGCACAACCCAAAGCAAAUAAUCCAGGCUCACUGCUGUGUUUAUUGAACGGGAUUAGUAUCCUGAACUCGGGACGUUGGUUCCUCUGGAUAACUUUGAACAUCAGCUCACAGAUGUCCUACACAAGAAGCCUCCUCCCCCCAUCUCCCCCCCUCCUCCUGCAAGACCAACCCUUGAGAAAAGGCCUAGGGGCAGAGGAGGAGGAGACCGAGGCAAAGUCUAAGGAAGGAAGUGAAUUCACAGCAAGUUAAACGGACUGUGUGAUGCUGUUGCUUCAUAUUGUUUCAUCAUUUGUUUCCUGACACUGAAUGUAUGUACCAUUUGUUUCUGUGCCCUCUUAAAAACAUGAACCCCCCUCCCUUAAUAAAUGUUUUUGCUUGGCUUGGA
Non-coding RNA from Pantherophis guttatus, 1038 nucleotides. The record is from RefSeq and is a predicted model, not a curated record. Lineage: Eukaryota; Metazoa; Chordata; Lepidosauria; Squamata; Colubridae.